GAUGCAGCCACCUUUUCUUAUUGCUCUGCAAAAAUACCACGCGUGGUAAGAAAGCUGGGGUAAGGUGAUCUCUUGUUUUAGAUGUACCCAUCUUCUGAGCAGAGCACGUCUGGGGCCAGAGUUGAUUUUAGGAGCUGAGGAGCUGCUGUAGGAGUGGAUCUGGAGAUGAUCAGCGUGGUUGGCUGUCCCCUGGCUCUCUGCGUCCUUAGGUCAGCCCAGGAAUGGAGAUGGUUAAAGAACAGAUGGGACCAUCCUGACACCCAGGAAGCUUCCCUGUUCUUCAGCAAGGAAACCCCAUCCUACGUAGGCGGAGGGACGAAGCGUGGACGCUCUUCAAAUAUCGAUGCGGUUGCUUAAUUAGCCUUGGCGAUAGCGGAGCCAUCAGCUCAACAGGUAUUUUAUCAAUUAAUAUUGUUGGCGCUGGAGACGUCGGUCUUCAAAUGGGGUUGGUGUCCUUCCCGCUAGCUCUUUCUCUAGUAAAGGGGAAUAAAUUUUGU
This is a long non-coding RNA of Gavia stellata (red-throated loon), 497 nucleotides long. RefSeq lists it as uncharacterized. The record is from RefSeq and is a predicted model, not a curated record. Lineage: Eukaryota; Metazoa; Chordata; Aves; Gaviiformes; Gaviidae. The transcript has 3 exons.